AACGAACGCUGGCGGAAGGCCUAACAAAUGCAAGUCGAACAGCACCUCCGGUACAGGUGGCUCCCGGGUGGGUAACGGGGGGAAAUCGCCCCUGGGGUCGGGAAAACAAGUUGUAACGGAGGGCUAAUACCGGAGAACAACUAAGUACAAAAGAUUUAUCGCCCGGGGAUGAGCCCGCGUAGGAUUAGCUAGUUGGUGGGGUAAAGGCCUACCAAGGCGACGAUCCUUAGCUGGUCUGAGAGGAUGAUCAGCCACACUGGGACUGAGACACGGCCCAGACUCCUACGGGAGGCAGCAGUGGGGAAUAUUGGACAAUGGGCGAAAGCCUGAUCCAGCAAUGCCGCGUGAGUGAUGAAGGCCUUAGGGUUGUAAAGCUCUUUUACCCGGGAUGAUAAUGACAGUACCGGGAGAAUAAGCCCCGGCUAACUCCGUG
Molecule: ribosomal RNA, 433 nt
Filed under: uncultured bacterium
Lineage: Bacteria
Description: partial 16S ribosomal RNA
Rfam family: Bacterial small subunit ribosomal RNA
Source: RNAcentral